RNAcentral lists this ribosomal RNA (246 nucleotides) under uncultured Lactobacillus sp. RNAcentral describes it as "partial 16S ribosomal RNA". It matches the Rfam family "Bacterial small subunit ribosomal RNA", at positions 116 to 354 of the family's 1533-position model. Lineage: Bacteria; Bacillati; Bacillota; Bacilli; Lactobacillales; Lactobacillaceae. The record is from RNAcentral.
CGUGGGUAACCUGCCCAAGAGAUCGGGAUAACACCUGGAAACAGAUGCUAAUACCGGAUAACAACAGAUGAUGCCUAUUAACUGUUUAAAAGAUGGUUCUGCUAUCACUCUUGGAUGGACCUGCGGUGCAUUAGCUAGUUGGUAGGGUAACGGCCUACCAAGGCGAUGAUGCAUAGCCGAGUUGAGAGACUGAUCGGCCACAUUGGGACUGAGACACGGCCCAAACUCCUACGGGAGGCAGCAGGG